GACGAACGCUGGCGGCGUGCUUAACACAUGCAAGUCGAGGGGGCUCAGCAAUGGGUCACCGGCGAACGGGUGCGUAACACGUGAGCGACCUGCCCAACUGCGGGGGAUAGCCGGCCCAACGGCCGGGUAAUACCGCAUACGCUCUACGGAGGAAAGCCGGGGACCGCAAGGCCUGGCGCUAGUAGAUGAGCCCAAAUCGGAUUAGCUAGUUGGUGAGGUAACGGCUCACCAAGGCGACGAUCCGUAGCUGGUUUGAGAGAACGACCAGCCACACCGGAACUGAGACACGGUCCGGACUCCUACGGGAGGCAGCAGUGGGGAAUAUUGGACAAUGGGCGAAAGCCUGAUCCAGCGACGCCGCGUGGGUGAAGAAGGCCUGCGGGUUGUAAAGCCCUUUCGGUUGGGAAGAAAAGUAUUGGCCUAAUACGCUAGUACCUUGACGUAACCAACAAAGAAGCACCGGCUAACUCUGUGCCAGCCGCCGCCGUAAC
Molecule: ribosomal RNA, 491 nt
Filed under: uncultured bacterium
Lineage: Bacteria
Description: bacterial SSU rRNA
Rfam family: Bacterial small subunit ribosomal RNA
Source: RNAcentral